AGGGAGAGAAUCAGAAGGCAGUAAAUUUGUUCUGGACACUUCCUUCAGUUUAAGAGUCCUGAUCAUAUGUCUGUUCUUCAUCAGCUUUCUGUAAGUCAGGAGAAAACAGAGGCAAUCUGUAAGCUCUCCCAUGAAUUAUUUCAAAAGCAUCUGCAUGCUUUGCUGGAACUAUUUCAACCCAUUUAGAAAAAGCAUCAAUCAUCAUCUAACAGUAUUUGUUAACUCAAAAGUUCAUAACAAAAAA
Poecilia latipinna (sailfin molly) is the source of this 244-nucleotide long non-coding RNA. RefSeq lists it as uncharacterized. Lineage: Eukaryota; Metazoa; Chordata; Actinopteri; Cyprinodontiformes; Poeciliidae. The transcript has 2 exons. The record is from RefSeq and is a predicted model, not a curated record.